GACGAACGCUGGCGGCGUGCCUAAUACAUGCAAGUAGAACGCACAGUUUAUACCGUAGCUUGCUACACCAUAGACUGUGAGUUGCGAACGGGUGAGUAACGCGUAGGUAACCUGCCUGGUAGCGGGGGAUAACUAUUGGAAACGAUAGCUAAUACCGCAUAAUAUUAAUUAUUGCAUGAUGAUUAAUUGAAAGGUGCAAUUGCACCACUACCAGAUGGACCUGCGUUGUAUUAGCUAGUAGGUGAGGUAACGGCUCACCUAGGCGACGAUACAUAGCCGACCUGGGAGGGUGGUCGGCCACACUGGGACUGGGACCAGGCCCAGACUCCUACGGGAGGCAGCAGUAGGGAAUCUUCGGCAAUGGACGAAAGUCUGGCCGAGCAACGCCGCGUGAGUGAAGAAGGUUUUCGGAUCGUAAAGCUCUGUUGUAAGAGAAGAACGGGUGUGAGAGUGGAAAGUUCACACUGUGACGGUAUCUUACCAGAAAGGGACGGCUAACUACGUG
Molecule: ribosomal RNA, 505 nt
Filed under: uncultured bacterium
Lineage: Bacteria
Description: partial 16S ribosomal RNA
Rfam family: Bacterial small subunit ribosomal RNA
Source: RNAcentral